GGGCCGAUGGUCUAGCCUGGUUAGGACACUACCCUCACACGGUAGUAGCUCAGGUUCAAAUCCUGGUCGGCCCA
RNAcentral lists this transfer RNA (74 nucleotides) under Nitrososphaerales archaeon. RNAcentral's name for it is "tRNA-Val". It matches the Rfam family "tRNA". From Rfam's summary of the family: Transfer RNA (tRNA) molecules are approximately 80 nucleotides in length. Their secondary structure includes four short double-helical elements and three loops (D, anti-codon, and T loops). Lineage: Archaea; Thermoproteati; Nitrososphaerota; Nitrososphaeria; Nitrososphaerales. The record is from RNAcentral.